CUUGUUUUCUCCUGGUGUAUAUGUGGUUACUGCUUUAACUUUUACGUGUUUUUAUAUAUUAUACAUAAUCACCAAAUUUAACAAGCUUUUUUCUCCAUACUUCAUGGAGCCAUUCUUUGUGUUUCAGGUUUGUUAUUAUUCAAAGUUGUUGAUGCCCUCAAUCAACCAACCGAACAUACACACACACCAAAAAUUUUUGAG
This 201-nucleotide long non-coding RNA is filed under the name Panax ginseng (ginseng). Its description in RNAcentral is "long non-coding RNA (PGIN_LNC018400)". Lineage: Eukaryota; Viridiplantae; Streptophyta; Magnoliopsida; Apiales; Araliaceae. The record is from RNAcentral.